This is a long non-coding RNA of Hippocampus zosterae (dwarf seahorse), 294 nucleotides long. RefSeq lists it as uncharacterized. NCBI's taxonomy places the organism in Eukaryota, Metazoa, Chordata, Actinopteri, Syngnathiformes, Syngnathidae. The record is from RefSeq and is a predicted model, not a curated record. The transcript has 2 exons.
UGUGGGAAUGAAUGAGAAGGGAGUCGCGUCGUAACCAGGAAGAAGAAGCUGAUUCGGAACAAAGGUUGAGCACGUUGUAGCGCAUAUUUAGUCAAUGACAUGUACACACAAUGAAAUUUCAUCCAUCCAUCCAUCCCUUUUCCGACUGAGGACCAUUGUUUCAGAUUUGGAGGUGCUGAUCUUCAUCCCAACCGCUUCACACUCGGCUGCGAAACGCUCCAGUGAGAGUUGGAGAGCCCUGUUUGAAGGAGCCAACAGCACCACAUCAUCUGCAAAAAGCAGGGAUGCAAUACU